Phascolarctos cinereus (koala) is the source of this 671-nucleotide non-coding RNA. The record is from RefSeq and is a predicted model, not a curated record. NCBI's taxonomy places the organism in Eukaryota, Metazoa, Chordata, Mammalia, Diprotodontia, Phascolarctidae.
CCCAUGGACAGCAUUGGCAUGCUAUGGUCAUGAAGAGUCACGUGACUGAAAUGACUGAACAACAGUAACAAAGGACUAGGCAAAUCAAUCCACCUUUGGAGUUCCUCAUCAGUAACAAUCCUCACCCUCCCUACGUCCAGGAUGCGCAGUGAAGAAAGCGCUAGAUUUAUUGUAGGGGUUCCUGCCAAACACUCACAACUAAUGUUGACCCUGUGGUUGUUUCGUGCUUCUCAGAAUUAUUCCUCUUCCAAGAAAUGGCUCAACACUUGGAAAGUCAGAAAGACAACGUGUACUGAAGAUGGCCAUGCUCAAUCAGUUGGCGAAAUCUGUUUGCAGCCUUUCUCUUUCCCGGUAACUAACUUCUGAAUCCCCAAAUGCGUCUGGCUGGAUCUCACGACUGCUCCCACUCCACGUGGGCUGCCCCAGAGACGGAGCACGUAGGUGCCUUCCUAGGGGACGAAAAUUUAUAUUCUCAAGAUACUUCUGAAAGAAAAUAGGUAGCGCGAAUAUAAUUGGAUGCUGAAGUCAUUUUGCCACCAUCUUUUCUGCCUUGUUUUUCUUUCUCCCUUUUAGAUUGAAUGCCAUUGUUGUUGUCAUCCUUCAUUUUGGAAGAGGACCAAAAUGGCAUCCCUAUGCUAGAUUCAAGUUUCAGUGUGUCUGCCUGUGGCUGA